GAUGAACGCUGGCGGCGUGCCUAAUACAUGCAAGUCGAGCGAAUGGAUUAAGAGCUUGCUCUUAUGAAGUUAGCGGCGGACGGGUGAGUAACACGUGGGUAACCUGCCCAUAAGACUGGGAUAACUCCGGGAAACCGGGGCCAAUACCGGAUAACAUUUUGAACCGCAUGGUUCGAAAUUGAAAGGCGGCUUCGGCUGUCACUUAUGGAUGGACCCGCGUCGCAUUAGCUAGUUGGUGAGGUAACGGCUCACCAAGGCAACGAUGCGUAGCCGACCUGGGAGGUUGAUCGGCCACACUGGGACUGAGACACGGACCAGACUCCUACGGGAGGCAGCAGUAGGGAAUCUUCCGCAAUGGACGAAAGUCUGACGGAGCAACGCCGCGUGAGUCAUGAAGGCUUUCGGGUCGUAAAACUCUGUUGUUAGGGAAGAACAAGUGCUAGUUGAAUAAGCUGGCACCUUGACGGUACCUAACCAGAAAGCCACGGCUAACUACGUGCCAGCCGCCGCAGUAA
Molecule: ribosomal RNA, 515 nt
Filed under: uncultured bacterium
Lineage: Bacteria
Description: partial 16S ribosomal RNA
Rfam family: Bacterial small subunit ribosomal RNA
Source: RNAcentral